GGGGCUAUAGCUCAGCUGGGAGAGCGCAACACUGGCAGUGUUGAGGUCAACGGUUCGAUCCCGUUUAGCUCCACCA
Molecule: transfer RNA, 76 nt
Filed under: Pseudomonadales bacterium
Lineage: Bacteria; Pseudomonadati; Pseudomonadota; Gammaproteobacteria; Pseudomonadales
Also listed under: 1 other name
Description: tRNA-Ala
Rfam family: tRNA
About the family: Transfer RNA (tRNA) molecules are approximately 80 nucleotides in length. Their secondary structure includes four short double-helical elements and three loops (D, anti-codon, and T loops).
Source: RNAcentral